Molecule: non-coding RNA, 72 nt
Organism: Podarcis lilfordi (Lilford's wall lizard)
Lineage: Eukaryota; Metazoa; Chordata; Lepidosauria; Squamata; Lacertidae
Source: the annotation of a GenBank genome assembly
UGAUAGCUCGGUUGGUAGAGUAUGAGACUCUUAAUUUCAGGGUUCUGGGUUUGAGCCCCACACUGAGCAAAA